AUUGAACGCUGGCGGCAUGCUUUACACAUGCAAGUCGAACGGCAGCGCGGGCUUCAGCCUGGCGGCGAGUGGCGAACGGGUGAGUAAUGCAUCGGAACGUGCCCAGUAGUGGGGGAUAGCCCGGCGAACGCCGGAUUAAUACCGCAUACGACCUGAGGGUGAAAGCGGGGGACCGAAAGGCCUCGCGCUAUUGGAGCGGCCGAUGUCGGAUUAGCUAGUUGGUGGGGUAAAGGCUUACCAAGGCGACGAUCCGUAGCUGGUCUGAGAGGACGACCAGCCACACUGGGACUGAGACACGGCCCAGACUCCUACGGGAGGCAGCAGUGGGGAAUUUUGGACAAUGGGGGCAACCCUGAUCCAGCCAUGCCGCGUGCGGGAAGAAGGCCUUCGGGUUGUAAACCGCUUUUGUUCGGGAAGAAAUCCUCUGGGCUAAUACCCCGGGGGGAUGACGGUACCGGAAGAAUAAGCACCGGCUAACUACGUG
RNAcentral lists this ribosomal RNA (484 nucleotides) under uncultured bacterium. RNAcentral describes it as "partial 16S ribosomal RNA". It matches the Rfam family "Bacterial small subunit ribosomal RNA", at positions 28 to 507 of the family's 1533-position model. The record is from RNAcentral.